CACAAAUAUGAUAUGAUGAUUUAAUGUAAUUUCGGAAAGGGUCGCUUUUGUACUUUCCUACCUGGGAACUUGUUUACCCUUACAACUGUUUAGUAUAUAAAGUAACAUUUUGGCCUUCAUGUCAUCAGUUCACUGAAAACCUUUACCACCAUGAAAUUGUUUGCCUUCUUCACGUUGUUCGUGUGCGCCAUCUUGGCUCUGGCCAGCGGUGAUGGGUCGUACUCCAGACAGGAGCGCAGCCCAGUGCCUGUCGAGGACGCAGCGCCAGCACCAGGCCCCCACCACCACCAUCACCACUACGGACACGGCUACGGACACCACGGCUAAAAUCGAUCAUGUCUUCAUUUUUGGUUUUGUUUAAAUAGUUUCGAAUAUGUAUGUUCAACAUUUCAAUAAAAUCUAUAUUUAGUUUCAA
Long non-coding RNA from Spodoptera frugiperda (fall armyworm), 415 nucleotides. RefSeq lists it as uncharacterized. The transcript is spliced from 2 exons. The record is from RefSeq and is a predicted model, not a curated record. Lineage: Eukaryota; Metazoa; Arthropoda; Insecta; Lepidoptera; Noctuidae.